UGGGGAAUAUUGCGCAAUGGGCGAAAGCCUGACGCAGCGACGCCGCGUGUGGGAGGAAGCCUUUCGGGGUGUAAACCACUGUCAGAGGGGAAGAACCGUGUCUCGUCGAACAGGCGGGGCACCUGACGGUACCCUCAGAGGAAGCGCCGGCUAACUCCGUGCCAGCAGCCGCGGUAAGACGGAGGGCGCAAGCGUUGUUCGGAAUUACUGGGCGUAAAGCGCGGGCAGGUGGUUCGUUAAGUCGUCUGUGAAAAUCCGGGGCUCAACCCCGUGAAAUGCAGGCGAUACUGGCGGACUGGAGAUCGGUAGAGGCUAGCGGAAUUCCUGGUGUAGCGGUGGAAUGCGUAGAUAUCAGGAAGAACACCCGUGGCGAAGGCGGCUAGCUGGGCCGAGUCUGACACUCAUCCGCGAAAGCGUGGGGAGCAAACAGGAUUAGAUACCCCCGUAGUCC
This 451-nucleotide ribosomal RNA is filed under the name uncultured prokaryote. Its description in RNAcentral is "bacterial SSU rRNA". It matches the Rfam family "Bacterial small subunit ribosomal RNA", at positions 355 to 796 of the family's 1533-position model. The record is from RNAcentral.